AUACUUACCUGACGCGAGAGGCACCUUGAUCAACUAGGAGGUCCUCUCAGGAUGAGGCCCUUUCAUUGCACUUCGACUGGGUUGACUCCUGCGAUUACCCCUAAUGUGGGAAACUCGAGCGUAUAAUUUCUGGUAGUGGGGACCUGCGUUCGCGCUCGUCCCCU
Molecule: non-coding RNA, 164 nt
Organism: Paramuricea clavata
Lineage: Eukaryota; Metazoa; Cnidaria; Anthozoa; Malacalcyonacea; Plexauridae
Source: the annotation of a GenBank genome assembly